GCUUUCAGAUUGAGAGAUGAAAAAGUCUUUCCAUAACAUUUGCUAGAUUGAUUACAUUACGGAAUGUACGUGUGUGUGAAAACUGAGCACUGCUGACGACAUUACUAUCGAGCAAAGUGUGCGUAAGUUUGUUUUGUCGAGCGACAAACAAGACGUAGCAAAUUAGUGUCAACGACGAUAAUAUUCGAUGUUGUAUGCGGGCCGUAUGUUUCGCUAAAGGUCGUAUCGAUUUAAACAGCUUGUAACAGCAGUUAUGAGGCGAGGCACGAAAGACGAGAGAGAGAGAGAGAGAGAGAGAGAGAGAGAGAGAGACAAAAAAAGAUGAACCGACCUUCUUGCCACCUGUUAGGACGUCGUCGGCUUUUUGAGGUUCUUGCUUGUCCAUCGCGACGUGAUCCGCACCACCUGCUGCAAUGAGACCUUGAAUUUCCUCAACGGUCAUCUGCCGCGUAAUCAUAUCGCCCUUUUCGUCAUUAUUUUUCAGAUACUCAACGACCAAAAAUAUCAAACCAAUUUGUCCGCAAGUACAGUGAUGAAAAACGGCGGCAAAGAGGAAGAUGAGAUUGAAAUAUUGUCGGAGACUCGGCUCAUCAGUGGAAGGAAAUACGAGGAAAUGUGAUUGAUGAGACAGGCACUGUGAUAUAUUAUACUUUACAGUUAAUAAAUUUCAACUGUUUUCCAGAUGAACUCUUUUUACCUGCAAUAUAUAUCGAUUUACAAAUAGCGUAAUAAACGGAUUGAGAUCAGCUGGAAAAAUGUUGAAAACCAACGACCAGUUCACUAAAAUUAUAAGAGUUCUCCCGAUUAUUUUACGAUACGCACGCUGCUGAAAUCUUCGAUAAUUGUAUAACAUCGUAUCCUAAUUUGCGAAAAAGUAAAAAAUUGCUCAACAAUGAUACAAAUGUAAAUGUUACAUAUACAACCUUGGCCAAAAUUAUUAAGCACCCUCAUAAUCAUUAUAUUAAAUCUAAUGCCAGGAAAGACUUCUAUUGUUUAAAAGUUGUUUAUUAGAGUGUUCAUUAUGAAGUCGUUAGAGCUAAGAAAUGGUUUAUUUCUUUCAAAAUAUAAAUGUUACUUUGAAAAAAGUAUUUUAAUAGUCUAAUAAUUUUGGCCAAGGCUGUAAGUAUCUAUUUUUGUCAAAUUAAUAAUGUAUUUCAAUUUUAUGCAGAUACUCAAGAUUCCAACGAUAGUAGAGAGCACACGGAUAAAAGAAAAUUGCUGAUCAUCAGGAAUGUGACCGCAUAUUUCAUUAGAAGACAAAAUAGAAAAUUUGCGAGUCACAACUGUCGGUGCGUCCACUUUACGUUGCACGUUAAACACCACGGAUAACUUGAAUGGUACACACGUUUCCGUUGUACAAGCUA
This is a non-coding RNA of Linepithema humile (Argentine ant), 1364 nucleotides long. NCBI's taxonomy places the organism in Eukaryota, Metazoa, Arthropoda, Insecta, Hymenoptera, Formicidae. The record is from RefSeq and is a predicted model, not a curated record.